AGGUUUCUCUCACUAUCAGGUAUGAACAGACUCUCUAUGCUGAACCAGUUUUAUAAACAACGCUGUAAGAAGAAUUGGGCUGGGGCUGGUGAUCGUGCUACUUUUUUUCACCAAGCUGUUGUUAAGCAUAGAAAGCGUAAUACUAUUUGCUCUAUCAAAGAUGAGACCAACAUGAUUCAUUUCAAACCUUCUGCUAUCACCAACACUUUUGUCAAUUAUUACAAUAAUACUGAUAGACCUUAUGUGUCCACCCAGUGGGCGAAUGAUCCUUCAGACCCAACCUAUGCUCUUCCUGAUAAUCAUGAGGUUUUGCAAAUUCUAAAAGAUAUGAAGUUAAAUGCUUCUCCAGGGCCAGAUGGAUUCAAUGUUGAAUUUUACAUGGCUGCUUGGGAUUGGAUAGGAGACGAGGUUACCCAGCUUAUUAUCAAUUUUUAUCUUACUGGUGUUCUGCCACCUCACAUUAAUGAUACUAACAUUGCUCUUAUUCCUAAGAAGUUGGUUCCUUAAGUCCCUAUGGAUUAUCGCCCA
RNAcentral lists this ribosomal RNA (528 nucleotides) under Triticum aestivum (bread wheat). Its description in RNAcentral is "partial small subunit ribosomal RNA". The record is from RNAcentral. Lineage: Eukaryota; Viridiplantae; Streptophyta; Magnoliopsida; Poales; Poaceae.